AGAGUUUGAUCCUGGCUCAGAUUGAACGCUGGCGGAAUGCUUUACACAUGCAAGUCGAACGGCAGCACGGGAGCUUGCUCCUGGUGGCGAGUGGCGAACGGGUGAGUAAUGCGUCGGAACGUACCGAGUAAUGGGGGAUAACGCAGCGAAAGCUGUGCUAAUACCGCAUACGCCCUGAGGGGGAAAGUGGGGGACCGCAAGGCCUCACGUUAUUCGAGCGGCCGACGUCUGAUUAGCUAGUUGGUGGGGUAAUGGCCCACCAAGGCGACGAUCAGUAGCGGGUCUGAGAGGAUGAUCCGCCACACUGGGACUGAGACACGGCCCAGACUCCUACGGGAGGCAGCAGUGGGGAAUAUUGGACAAUGGGCGAAAGCCUGAUCCAGCCAUGCCGCGUGUGUGAAGAAGGCCUUUUGGUUGUAAAGCACUUUAAGCGAGGAGGAGGCUACCGAGAUUAAUACUCUAGGAUAGUGGACGUUACUCGCAGAAUAAGCACCGGCUAACUCUGUGCCAGCAGCCGCGGUAAUACAGAGGGUGCGAGCGUUAAUCGGAUUUACUGGGCGUAAAGCGUGCGUAGGCGGCUUCUUAAGUCGGAUGUGAAAUCCCUGAGCUUAAC
Molecule: ribosomal RNA, 613 nt
Filed under: uncultured bacterium
Lineage: Bacteria
Description: bacterial SSU rRNA
Rfam family: Bacterial small subunit ribosomal RNA
Source: RNAcentral